GCAGCAGCCACGGUAAUACAGAGGGUGCGAGCGUUAAUCGGAUUUACUGGGCGUAAAGCGUGCGUAGGCGGCUUUUUAAGUCGGAUGUGAAAUCCCUGAGCUUAACUUAGGAAUUGCAUUCGAUACUGGGAAGCUAGAGUAUGGGAGAGGAUGGUAGAAUUCCAGGUGUAGCGGUGAAAUGCGUAGAGAUCUGGAGGAAUACCGAUGGCGAAGGCAGCCAUCUGGCCUAAUACUGACGCUGAGGUACGAAAGCAUGGGGAGCAAACAGGAUUAGAGACCCCCGUAGUCCCUGUCUCUUAUAC
Molecule: ribosomal RNA, 302 nt
Filed under: uncultured bacterium
Lineage: Bacteria
Description: partial 16S ribosomal RNA
Rfam family: Bacterial small subunit ribosomal RNA
Source: RNAcentral